Molecule: ribosomal RNA, 440 nt
Filed under: uncultured bacterium
Lineage: Bacteria
Description: partial 16S ribosomal RNA
Rfam family: Bacterial small subunit ribosomal RNA
Source: RNAcentral
ACUACGGGGGGCAGCAGUGGGGAAUAUUGCACAAUGGGGGGAACCCUGAUGCAGCGACGCCGCGUGAGUGAAGAAGUAUUUCGGUAUGUAAAGCUCUAUCAGCAGGGAAGAAAAUGACGGUACCUGACUAAGAAGCCCCGGCUAACUACGUGCCAGCAGCCGCGGUAAGACGUAGGGGGCAAGCGUUAUCCGGAUUUACUGGGUGUAAAGGGAGCGCAGACGGCGGUGCAAGUCUGGAGUGAAAGGCGGGGGCCCAACCCCCGGACUGCUCUGGAAACUGUAAAGCUGGAGUGCAGGAGAGGUAAGCGGAAUUCCUAGUGUAGCGGUGAAAUGCGUAGAUAUUAGGAGGAACACCAGUGGCGAAGGCGGCUUACUGGACUGCAACUGACGUUGAGGCUCGAAAGCGUGGGGAGCAAACAGGAUUAGAUACCCCAGUAGUC